Molecule: non-coding RNA, 45 nt
Organism: Schistosoma mansoni
Lineage: Eukaryota; Metazoa; Platyhelminthes; Trematoda; Strigeidida; Schistosomatidae
Source: Rfam
AUCCAGCUGAUGAGUUCCAAACGGGGCGAAACACGCGUCCUGGAU